GGCACUUCAAACCCACCUAGAGGAGCCUGUUCUAGAACCGAUAACCCCCGUUCAACCUCACCUUUCCUUGCCCCCAGCCUAUAUACCGCCGUCGUCAGCCCACCCUAUGAAGGCCCAAUAGUGAGCGAAACUGCCUCCCCACCAAAACGUCAGGUCGAGGUGUAGCUAAUGGAAAGGAAGUAAUGGGCUACAAUUGUUAUUCAACUAAUACGAACUGUUUGCUGAAAUGUAAACAUGAAGGAGGAUUUAGGAGUAAGAAGAAAUUAGAGCGUUCUUCUGAAACGGCUCUGAAGUGUGCACACACCGCCCGUCACUCUCCCCGAAAAAUACUUAAACAUAACUAAUACAAUCACUAAUAGAGGGGAGACAAGUCGUAACAUGGUAGAUGUACCGGAAGGUGCACCUGGCAUACC
Molecule: ribosomal RNA, 413 nt
Filed under: Siphamia majimai (striped siphonfish)
Lineage: Eukaryota; Metazoa; Chordata; Actinopteri; Kurtiformes; Apogonidae
Description: partial 12S ribosomal RNA
Rfam family: Bacterial small subunit ribosomal RNA
Source: RNAcentral